CAGGAGAGGGAAUUGUCCCUGCACAUCUCAGCUCCCUUCUUCCACAACGCCCAGCCCUGGAAGGUGGCUCUGGCUCUGGUCCUCGUGCUUUUUGUGGUGUCCAUUGGCCUCGGUGUUUAUCUCUUUCGAAAGCAAGCAGCGAAAAAGGAUGCAAGCUUGGUAAGUC
Molecule: non-coding RNA, 166 nt
Organism: Anas platyrhynchos (mallard)
Lineage: Eukaryota; Metazoa; Chordata; Aves; Anseriformes; Anatidae
Source: RefSeq, a predicted model, not a curated record